Molecule: ribosomal RNA, 1522 nt
Filed under: metagenome
Description: bacterial SSU rRNA
Rfam family: Bacterial small subunit ribosomal RNA
Source: RNAcentral
AGAGUUUGAUCAUGGCUUAGAUUGAACGCUGGCGGCAGGCCUAACACAUGCAAGUCGAACGGUAACAGGAAGAAGCUUGCUUCUUUGCUGACGAGUGGCGGACGGGUGAGUAAUGUCUGGGAAACUGCCUGAUGGAGGGGGAUAACUACUGGAAACGGUAGCUAAUACCGCAUAACGUCGCAAGACCAAAGAGGGGGACCUUCGGGCCUCUUGCCAUCGGAUGUGCCCAGAUGGGAUUAGCUAGUAGGUGGGGUAACGGCUCACCUAGGCGACGAUCCCUAGCUGGUCUGAGAGGAUGACCAGCCACACUGGAACUGAGACACGGUCCAGACUCCUACGGGAGGUAGCAGUGGGGAAUAUUGCACAAUGGGCGCAAGCCUGAUGCAGCCAUGCCGCGUGUAUGAAGAAGGCCUUCGGGUUGUAAAGUACUUUCAGCGGGGAGGAAGGGAGUAAAGUUAAUACCUUUGCUCAUUGACGUUACCCGCAGAAGAAGCACCGGCUAACUCCGUGCCAGCAGCCGCGGUAAUACGGAGGGUGCAAGCGUUAAUCGGAAUUACUGGGCGUAAAGCGCACGCAGGCGGUUUGUUAAGUCAGAUGUGAAAUCCCCGGGCUCAACCUGGGAACUGCAUCUGAUACUGGCAAGCUUGAGUCUCGUAGAGGGGGGUAGAAUUCCAGGUGUAGCGGUGAAAUGCGUAGAGAUCUGGAGGAAUACCGGUGGCGAAGGCGGCCCCCUGGACGAAGACUGACGCUCAGGUGCGAAAGCGUGGGGAGCAAACAGGAUUAGAUACCCUGGUAGUCCACGCCGUAAACGAUGUCGACUUGGAGGUUGUGCCCUUGAGGCGUGGCUUCCGGAGCUAACGCGUUAAGUCGACCGCCUGGGGAGUACGGCCGCAAGGUUAAAACUCAAAUGAAUUGACGGGGGCCCGCACAAGCGGUGGAGCAUGUGGUUUAAUUCGAUGCAACGCGAAGAACCUUACCUGGUCUUGACAUCCACAGAACUUUCCAGAGAUGGAUUGGUGCCUUCGGGAACUGUGAGACAGGUGCUGCAUGGCUGUCGUCAGCUCGUGUUGUGAAAUGUUGGGUUAAGUCCCGCAACGAGCGCAACCCUUAUCUUUUGUUGCCAGCGGUCCGGCCGGGAACUCAAAGGAGACUGCCAGUGAUAAACUGGAGGAAGGUGGGUAUGACGUCAAGUCAUCAUGGCCCUUACGACCAGGGCUACACACGUGCUACAAUGGCGCAUACAAAGAGAAGCGACCUCGCGAGAGCAAGCGGACCUCAUAAAGUGCGUCGUAGUCCGGAUUGGAGUCUGCAACUCGACUCCAUGAAGUCGGAAUCGCUAGUAAUCGUGGAUCAGAAUGCCACGGUGAAUACGUUCCCGGGCCUUGUACACACCGCCCGUCACACCAUGGGAGUGGGUCGCAAAAGAAGUAGGUAGCUUAACCUUCGGGAGGGCGCUUACCACUUUGUGAUUCAUGACUGGGGUGAAGUCGUAACAAGGUAACCGUAGGGGAACCUGCGGUUG